AAGAUUGCGAGGAAGAGUUGGAAAUUGGUACUUUUCACCCUUCUCUUCCCCUAAAGUCAUUCUCACCUUUCCCUCAGCUCACAGGCGAAAGGAGGGUACCUGACAAUCCCCUCAAGGGGAGGUUCAGCAGAUACAAAUGAGGACUGAACAAAAUAUUAGAACAGUUCAAAGAAAAGGUGACUGCAAGUUGGAAAUCAUAAACAUCACGUGUUCAUACAUUACAUACUCAUGCACCAAUAUUUGCUUUAAGGAUAAAGGCUUUUCUUAAAAAUGGAUCAGGGCCGGGCAUGGUGGCUCACGCCUGUAAUCUCAGCACUUAGGGAGGCCAAGAUGGGUGGAUCACCUGAGGUCAGGAGUUCAAGACCAGCCUUGCCAACAUGGUGAGACCCCAUCUCUACUAAAAAUACAAAAAUUAGCCGGGUGUGGUGGUGCAUACCUGUAAUCCCAGCCACUUGGGAAGCUGAGGCAGGAGAAUUGCUUGAACCCAGGAGGUGGAGGUUGCAGUGAGCCAAGAUCAUGCCACUGCACUCCAGCCUGGGCAACAGAAAUGGAUCAGUCGAUUAGAGUUCGGCACUUAUUAUUAUUAUUAUUAUUUGGCAUACAUAACACUGAAAGUGUCUAUUCCUAAAUUCUAGUUGAGAUGUCUUUCAGUAACUUAGGAAGCCAUUGGGAAACAAUCUGAAUGCAAACUUUUUCUAGAGUUUUUGUUUGCCAAUUUUUCACAAUCAUCACAUCUAGGUAUAACUUAACAGAGAAAAGUUUGUGACUCGACUAUACUCUUUCCAAAGUUUUAACUUUACAAAAAACAGCUUGAUUUUCCCCUAAUAGUUCUUUAUUAUGUAUGCAUCCCAUAUAUGUUUAUAUAUGUUCAAGUGUACAACAAAAAUUCACAAAAUACUAUAAAGGAUGUACCUUGUGAUUUUCCAUUCUAGCCCAAGGAAGUUGAGCCAGUUCUAUUCUUUCAAAUGCAGACCACGACCCAUUAAAUUGAUUUAACAACCUGCAAAUAGUCAGGCUCCCCAGCAUGAAAGGCACUGCUUCAGUAGCUGUCUGUAAGCACCAAGCAGUGAGGGCAGAGAGGAGAACCCCUGAGCACCUCCCCAUACCACCGACUGCAUCUCAGUGUAAUGUCCCAAUAGCUCAGAGGAAACAUAGCAAAUGCUUAAAGUAUCAACACUACUGAAAUCAAUGAUGUAAUCUUUGAACUCACAGUUACACUUGUCUUUGUUUUGUGAAAGCAUACAAAUGUCUUGUUCUCCAUCAAGACAGGAAAAGAGCACACAGACAGCUUCAGUGCCUGCUCCUCCCUGUGCUCAAGGUUCACUCCAUUCUUCCAAUUUUUUUCCUCUAAGUUCAGAGGCUGGCAAACUGCAGUCCAUGGGCCAAGUCUGGCCAGUGCCUGUUUUUGUCAAAUUGCGUCGGAACACAGCCACGCUGGAUUUGUGUGUGUGUUGUCUGUGGUUGUUUUCAAGCUGCAGCGGCAGAGUUGUUUGAUCGGAGAAGGUCUGCCACACAAAGCCCAAGACAUUCACGAACUGGCCGAAAAGAUGGCUCACCCCCCGCACUAAGUCAUCUCCUAGCUCUGAGAAAAUGGCGAUCCUCUGAGAACUCAGAAGCUCUUUCCCCAUAUUAAAUUAUUUGCUCACAAACUUGUUUACUGGGAUAAGAAGAAGGUGGUAUUAU
RNAcentral lists this long non-coding RNA (1683 nucleotides) under Homo sapiens (human). RNAcentral's name for it is "non-protein coding lnc-MYO16-8:1". The record is from RNAcentral. Lineage: Eukaryota; Metazoa; Chordata; Mammalia; Primates; Hominidae.